GAUAAACGCUGGCGGCAUGCUUUACACAUGCAAGUCGAACGGCAGCGGGGUAGUGCUUGCACUACUGUCCGGCGAGUGGCGAACGGGUGAGUAAUAUAUCGGAACGUACCGAGUAAUGGGGGAUAACCAAUCGAAAGAGUGGCUAAUACCGCAUACGUCCUACGGGAGAAAGCGGGGGAUCGCAAGACCUCGCUUUAUUCGAGCGGCCGAUAACUAAUUUGCUAAUUGGGGGGGUGAUGGCCUACCAAGGCGACGAUCAGUAGGUGGUCUGAGAUGACGACCCUCCACACUGGCACGGAGACACUGCCCAGACGCCUCCUUGAGCAUCUGUGGUGUUGUUGGGAUGUGUGUGUUAACGCUGUUCCAGCUGUUGCUCGUGUGUAGGGGUGCUUGUGGUUGUGAGGCCUUUGCCUGUAGGAGGUGAUGUUGUGUUUGGUUUUUUUGUGUUGUCGUGUGGAUAUGUGUGUGUUUGAGUGUGCUGUGCUGUGUGUGAUGGGGUGAUGUGUGUGUGAAUGUGGUUCUAUCGUGUGUGGGGUGUGGUUGUGUGUGUGUGUCAUGCGCUGUUGAGAUGUAGUGUGUGCUGUGGGUGGGGUGUUGUGGGCUUGUGAGUGUGGUGUGUGAUGAUGUGUGUUGUGGUAUGCGUGUAUGCUGUGUGCAUUCGUUGGUGCGUGUGUUGUAUGUGUGUGCUAGGCGUCUGCUGCCUGAUG
Molecule: ribosomal RNA, 707 nt
Filed under: Prevotella nigrescens
Lineage: Bacteria; Pseudomonadati; Bacteroidota; Bacteroidia; Bacteroidales; Prevotellaceae
Description: bacterial SSU rRNA
Rfam family: Bacterial small subunit ribosomal RNA (bases 12-374)
Source: RNAcentral